This 434-nucleotide ribosomal RNA is filed under the name uncultured bacterium. RNAcentral describes it as "partial 16S ribosomal RNA". It matches the Rfam family "Bacterial small subunit ribosomal RNA", at positions 29 to 507 of the family's 1533-position model. The record is from RNAcentral.
AGCGAACGCUGGCGGCAGGCCUAACACAUGCAAGUCGAACGAACCUUUCGGGGUUAGUGGCGGACGGGUGAGUAACACGUGGGAACGUGCCUUUAGGUUCGGAAUAACUCAGGGAAACUUGUGCUAAUACCGAAUGUGCCCUUCGGGGGAAAGAUUUAUCGCCUUUAGAGCGGCCCGCGUCUGAUUAGCUAGUUGGUUGAGGUAAUGGCUCACCAAGGCGACGAUCAGUAGCUGGUCUGAGAGGAUGAUCAGCCACAUUGGGACUGAGACACGGCCCAAAAUCCUACGCGAGGGGGGAGUGGGGAAUCUUGCGCAAUGGGCGAAAGGCUGACGCAGCCAUGCCGCGUGAAUGAUGAAGGUCUUAGGAUUGUAAAAUUCUUUCACCGGGGACGAUAAUGACGGUACCCGGAGAAGAAGCCCCGGCUAACUUCGUG